This 198-nucleotide ribosomal RNA is filed under the name uncultured bacterium. Its description in RNAcentral is "partial 16S ribosomal RNA". It matches the Rfam family "Bacterial small subunit ribosomal RNA", at positions 328 to 539 of the family's 1533-position model. The record is from RNAcentral.
ACGCUCGACACCUACGGGAGACAGCAGUGGGGAAUAUUGCACAAUGGGGGAAACCCUGAUGCAGCGACGCCGCGUGAGUGAAGAAGUAUUUCGGUAUGUAAAGCUCUAUCAGCAGGGAANAAAAUGACGGUACCUGACUAAGAAGCCCCGGCUAACUACGUGCCAACAGCCGCGGUAAUCUGAGCGGGCUGGCAAGGC